RNAcentral lists this ribosomal RNA (1386 nucleotides) under Salmonella enterica subsp. enterica serovar Typhimurium. Its description in RNAcentral is "partial 23S ribosomal RNA". It matches the Rfam family "Bacterial large subunit ribosomal RNA", at positions 1467 to 2827 of the family's 2925-position model. The record is from RNAcentral. Lineage: Bacteria; Pseudomonadati; Pseudomonadota; Gammaproteobacteria; Enterobacterales; Enterobacteriaceae.
GGGGGACGGAGAAGGCUAUGUUGGCCGGGCGACGGUUGUCCCGGUUUAAGCGUGUAGGUGUGUGUUCCAGGUAAAUCCGGUUCACUUUAACACUGAGGCGUGAUGACGAGGCACUACGGUGCUGAAGCAACAAAUGCCCUGCUUCCAGGAAAAGCCUCUAAGCAUCAGGUAACAUCAAAUCGUACCCCAAACCGACACAGGUGGUCAGGUAGAGAAUACCAAGGCGCUUGAGAGAACUCGGGUGAAGGAACUAGGCAAAAUGGUGCCGUAACUUCGGGAGAAGGCACGCUGACACGUAGGUGAAGUGAUUUACUCACGGAGCUGAAGUCAGUCGAAGAUACCAGCUGGCUGCAACUGUUUAUUAAAAACACAGCACUGUGCAAACACGAAAGUGGACGUAUACGGUGUGACGCCUGCCCGGUGCCGGAAGGUUAAUUGAUGGGGUCAGCGCAAGCGAAGCUCCUGAUCGAAGCCCCGGUAAACGGCGGCCGUAACUAUAACGGUCCUAAGGUAGCGAAAUUCCUUGUCGGGUAAGUUCCGACCUGCACGAAUGGCGUAAUGAUGGCCAGGCUGUCUCCACCCGAGACUCAGUGAAAUUGAACUCGCUGUGAAGAUGCAGUGUACCCGCGGCAAGACGGAAAGACCCCGUGAACCUUUACUAUAGCUUGACACUGAACAUUGAGCCUUGAUGUGUAGGAUAGGUGGGAGGCUUUGAAGUGUGGACGCCAGUCUGCAUGGAGCCGACCUUGAAAUACCACCCUUUAAUGUUUGAUGUUCUAACGUGGACCCGUAAUCCGGGUUGCGGACAGUGUCUGGUGGGUAGUUUGACUGGGGCGGUCUCCUCCUAAAGAGUAACGGAGGAGCACGAAGGUUGGCUAAUCCUGGUCGGACAUCAGGAGGUUAGUGCAAUGGCAUAAGCCAGCUUGACUGCGAGCGUGACGGCGCGAGCAGGUGCGAAAGCAGGUCAUAGUGAUCCGGUGGUUCUGAAUGGAAGGGCCAUCGCUCAACGGAUAAAAGGUACUCCGGGGAUAACAGGCUGAUACCGCCCAAGAGUUCAUAUCGACGGCGGUGUUUGGCACCUCGAUGUCGGCUCAUCACAUCCUGGGGCUGAAGUAGGUCCCAAGGGUAUGGCUGUUCGCCAUUUAAAGUGGUACGCGAGCUGGGUUUAGAACGUCGUGAGACAGUUCGGUCCCUAUCUGCCGUGGGCGCUGGAGAACUGAGGGGGGCUGCUCCUAGUACGAGAGGACCGGAGUGGACGCAUCACUGGUGUUCGGGUUGUCAUGCCAAUGGCACUGCCCGGUAGCUAAAUGCGGAAGAGAUAAGUGCUGAAAGCAUCUAAGCACGAAACUUGCCCCGAGAUGAGUUCUCCCUGAGACUUAGAGUCUC